GCAGAGGAGGUCCUUCUGUCUGAAGACGACAAAAACCCAGGGAACAAAUAUGAUGCCAAGCGGCGGAACACCAUCAAGAAGACUAAAACAGACCUGCUGAACCCAGAGGAAGGAGAGGACCACUUAGGAGAUGCUGUUGGCUCUCCGUUCGGCAAAGGCGACAGCACACAGUUCAACAAUGGAGCGGCGGCG
Long non-coding RNA from Alosa alosa (allis shad), 192 nucleotides. RefSeq lists it as uncharacterized. Lineage: Eukaryota; Metazoa; Chordata; Actinopteri; Clupeiformes; Clupeidae. The transcript has 3 exons. The record is from RefSeq and is a predicted model, not a curated record.